RNAcentral lists this ribosomal RNA (466 nucleotides) under uncultured bacterium. RNAcentral's name for it is "partial 16S ribosomal RNA". It matches the Rfam family "Bacterial small subunit ribosomal RNA", at positions 28 to 507 of the family's 1533-position model. The record is from RNAcentral.
GAUGAACGCUGGCGGCGUGCUUAACACAUGCAAGUCGAACGGAAAGGCCCAAGCUUGCUUGGGUACUCGAGUGGCGAACGGGUGAGUAACACGUGGGUGAUCUGCCCUGCACUUCGGGAUAAGCCUGGGAAACUGGGUCUAAUACUGGAUAGGACCACUUCUUGGAUGUUGUGGUGGAAAGUUUUUUCGGUGUGGGAUGAGCUCGCGGCCUAUCAGCUUGUUGGUGGGUAAUGGCCUACCAAGGCGUCGACGGGUAGCCGGCCUGAGAGGGUGUACGGCCACAUUGGGACUGAGAUACGGCCCAGACUCCUACGGGAGGCAGCAGUGGGGAAUAUUGCACAAUGGGCGCAAGCCUGAUGCAGCGACGCCGCGUGGGGGAUGACGGCCUUCGGGUUGUAAACUCCUUUCGCUAGGGACGAAGCGUUUUGUGACGGUACCUGGAGAAGAAGCACCGGCUAACUACGUG